CAGCAGUCGCCGCGGUAACACGGAGGAUCCAAGCGUUAUCCGGAAUCAUUGGGUUUAAAGGGUCCGUAGGCGGUCUUGUAAGUCAGUGGUGAAAGCCCAUCGCUCAACGGUGGAACGGCCAUUGAUACUGCAGGACUUGAAUUAUUGGGAAGUAACUAGAAUAUGUAGUGUAGCGGUGAAAUGCUUAGAGAUUACAUGGAAUACCAAUUGCGAAGGCAGGUUACUACCAAUUGAUUGACGCUGAUGGACGAAAGCGUGGGUAGCGAACAGGAUUAGAUACCCCUGUAGUCCCUGUCUCUUAUAA
RNAcentral lists this ribosomal RNA (304 nucleotides) under uncultured bacterium. Its description in RNAcentral is "partial 16S ribosomal RNA". It matches the Rfam family "Bacterial small subunit ribosomal RNA", at positions 509 to 809 of the family's 1533-position model. The record is from RNAcentral.